This is a small nuclear RNA of Mesocricetus auratus (golden hamster), 107 nucleotides long. The record is from Ensembl. Lineage: Eukaryota; Metazoa; Chordata; Mammalia; Rodentia; Cricetidae.
GUGCUCACCUUGGCAGCACAUAUACUAACACUGGAACAAUACAGAGAAGAUUAGCAUGGCCCCUGUGCAAUAAUGACAUGCAAAUUUGUGAAGCUUUCCACAAAGAG